This 252-nucleotide ribosomal RNA is filed under the name uncultured bacterium. RNAcentral describes it as "partial 16S ribosomal RNA". It matches the Rfam family "Bacterial small subunit ribosomal RNA", at positions 524 to 776 of the family's 1533-position model. The record is from RNAcentral.
UACGUAGGGCGCAAGCGUUAUCCGGAAUUAUUGGGCGUAAAGAGCUCGUAGGCGGUUUGUCGCGUCUGCCGUGAAAGUCCGGGGCUCAACUCCGGAUCUGCGGUGGGUACGGGCAGACUAGAGUGAUGUAGGGGAGACUGGAAUUCCUGGUGUAGCGGUGAAAUGCGCAGAUAUCAGGAGGAACACCGGUAGCGAAGGCGGGUCUCUGGGCAGUAACUGACGCUGAGGAGCGAAAGCUGGGGAGCGAACAGG